GACGAACGCUGGCGGCGUGCUUAACACAUGCAAGUCGAACGGAAAGGCCCUGCUUUUGUGGGGUGCUCGAGUGGCGAACGGGUGAGUAACACGUGAGUAACCUGCCCUUGACUUUGGGAUAACUUCAGGAAACUGGGGCUAAUACCGGAUAGGAGCUCCUGCUGCAUGGUGGGGGUUGGAAAGUUUCGGCGGUUGGGGAUGGACUCGCGGCUUAUCAGCUUGUUGGUGGGGGAGUGGCUUACCAAGGCUUUGACGGGUAGCCGGCCUGAGAGGGUGACCGGCCACAUUGGGACUGGGAUACGGCCCAGACUCCUACGGGAGGCAGCAGUGGGGAAUAUUGCACAAUGGGCGGAAGCCUGAUGCAGCAACGCCGCGUGCGGGAUGACGGCUUUCGGGUUGUAAACCGCUUUCGCCUGUGACGAAGCGUGAGUGACGGUAAUGGGUAAAGAAGCCCCGGCUAACUACGUG
RNAcentral lists this ribosomal RNA (468 nucleotides) under uncultured bacterium. RNAcentral describes it as "partial 16S ribosomal RNA". It matches the Rfam family "Bacterial small subunit ribosomal RNA", at positions 28 to 507 of the family's 1533-position model. The record is from RNAcentral.